Molecule: small nuclear RNA, 110 nt
Organism: Cervus hanglu yarkandensis (Yarkand deer)
Lineage: Eukaryota; Metazoa; Chordata; Mammalia; Artiodactyla; Cervidae
Source: Ensembl
GUGCUUGCUUCAGCAGCACAUAUACUGAAAAACUGGAACAAUAUAAAGAAGAUUAACGUGGCCCCUCCGCAAGCAUGACAAUGCAAAUUCGUGAAGUAUUCCAUACUUUU